UACGAAGGGUGCAAACGUUGCUCGGAAUCAUUGGGCGUAAAGCGCACGUAGGCGGCUUGCCAAGUCGGACGUGAAAUCCCUCAGCUCAACUGAGGACGUGCAUCCGAAACUGGCGAGCUUGAGUACUGAAGAGGAUCGCGGAAUUCCCGGUGUAGAGGUGAAAUUCGUAGAUAUCAGGAGGAACACCGAUGGCGAAGGCAGGUCUCUGGGCCGAAACUGACGCUGAGGAGCGAAAGCGUGGGGAGCAAACAGG
RNAcentral lists this ribosomal RNA (253 nucleotides) under uncultured bacterium. RNAcentral's name for it is "partial 16S ribosomal RNA". It matches the Rfam family "Bacterial small subunit ribosomal RNA", at positions 524 to 776 of the family's 1533-position model. The record is from RNAcentral.